UCAUGGGAGUCUCAAACAUGAAAACAUGGUUAAUUUGUUUGGCUCUAAUUGGCAUAGUGGUGAUGGAAGAGGUGAUCCAAAUUGAUGCAGCAAUGACAAUCCACCAUCCAGAGGUCUCCGGUCUUGUUUCCUACCGUCGCCUUCUCCAAGAAGCUGUUAAUCCUUGGAAUCGUGGCUGCUCAAGACUCACUAGGUGUCGAAGUUAAUGUAUAUUUUGAUAAUAUGUGACGGUAUCUUACUUAUAUAAAUGUAGAAAGCUCUGCAUAUUAAGGCAACAUAAUUAAUACUUUUUAUCUCUUUCUUUUA
Long non-coding RNA from Gossypium raimondii (Peruvian cotton), 306 nucleotides. RefSeq lists it as uncharacterized. The transcript is spliced from 2 exons. The record is from RefSeq and is a predicted model, not a curated record. Lineage: Eukaryota; Viridiplantae; Streptophyta; Magnoliopsida; Malvales; Malvaceae.